UACGUAGGGGGCAAGCGUUGUCCGGAAUCAUUGGGCGUAAAGAGCGCGUAGGCGGCCCUGUAAGUCCGCUGUGAAAGUCAAGGGCUCAACCCUUGGAUGCCGGUGGAUACUGCAGGGCUAGAGUCCGGAAGAGGCGAGUGGAAUUCCUGGUGUAGCGGUGAAAUGCGCGGAUAUCAGGAGGAACACCGAUGGCGAAGGCAGCUCGCUGGGCCUUACCUGACGCUGAGGAGCGAAAGCGUGGGGAGCGAACAGG
Molecule: ribosomal RNA, 253 nt
Filed under: uncultured bacterium
Lineage: Bacteria
Description: partial 16S ribosomal RNA
Rfam family: Bacterial small subunit ribosomal RNA
Source: RNAcentral